Molecule: ribosomal RNA, 484 nt
Filed under: uncultured bacterium
Lineage: Bacteria
Description: partial 16S ribosomal RNA
Rfam family: Bacterial small subunit ribosomal RNA
Source: RNAcentral
AUUGAACGCUGGCGGCAUGCUUUACACAUGCAAGUCGAACGGCAGCGCGGGCUUCGGCCUGGCGGCGAGUGGCGAACGGGUGAGUAAUACAUCGGAACGUGCCCAGUAGUGGGGGAUAGCUCGGCGAAAGCCGGAUUAAUACCGCAUACGACCUGAGGGUGAAAGCGGGGGAUCUUCGGACCUCGCGCUAUUGGAGCGGCCGAUGGCAGAUUAGCUAGUUGGUGGGGUAAAGGCCUACCAAGGCGACGAUGUGUAGCUGGUCUGAGAGGACGACCAGCCACACUGGGACUGAGACACGGCCCAGACUCCUACGGGAGGCAGCAGUGGGGAAUUUUGGACAAUGGGCGAAAGCCUGAUCCAGCAAUGCCGCGUGUGUGAUGAAGGCCUUCGGGUUGUAAAGCACUUUUGGCGGGAACGAAAAGGACUGUGCCAAUACCACGGUUCGAUGACGGUACCCGCAGAAUAAGCACCGGCUAACUACGUG